RNAcentral lists this ribosomal RNA (427 nucleotides) under uncultured bacterium. RNAcentral describes it as "bacterial SSU rRNA". It matches the Rfam family "Bacterial small subunit ribosomal RNA", at positions 355 to 774 of the family's 1533-position model. The record is from RNAcentral.
UGGGGAAUUUUGGACAAUGGGCGCAAGCCUGAUCCAGCAAUGCCGCGUGCAGGAUGAAGGCCUUCGGGUUGUAAACUGCUUUUGUACGGAACGAAAAAGCUCUCUCUAAUACAGGGGGUGAAUGACGGUACCGUAAGAAUAAGCACCGGCUAACUCCGUGCCAGCAGCCGCGGUAAUACGGAGGGUGCAAGCGUUAUCCGGAUUCACUGGGUUUAAAGGGUGCGUAGGUGGGCAGAUAAGUCAGUGGUGAAAUCUUCCGGCUUAACCGGGAAACUGCCGUUGAUACUAUUUGUCUUGAAUAUUGCGGAGGUAAGCGGAAUACGUCAUGUAGCGGUGAAAUGCUUAGAUAUGACAUAGAACACCAAUUGCGAAGGCAGCUUACUACACAAUCAUUGACACUGAGGCACGAAAGCGUGGGUAGCGAACA